This 468-nucleotide ribosomal RNA is filed under the name uncultured bacterium. RNAcentral's name for it is "partial 16S ribosomal RNA". It matches the Rfam family "Bacterial small subunit ribosomal RNA", at positions 28 to 507 of the family's 1533-position model. The record is from RNAcentral.
GACGAACGCUGGCGGCGUGCUUAACACAUGCAAGUCGAACGGAAAGGCCCUGCUUUUGUGGGGUGCUCGAGUGGCGAACGGGUGAGUAACACGUGAGUAACCUGCCCUUGACUUUGGGAUAACUUCAGGAAACUGGGGCUAAUACCGGAUAGGAGCUCCUGCUGCAUGGUGGGGGUUGGAAAGUUUCGGCGGUUGGGGAUGGACUCGCGGCUUAUCAGCUUGUUGGUGGGGUAGUGGCUUACCAAGGCUUUGACGGGUAGCCGGCCUGAGAGGGUGACCGGCCACAUUGGGACUGAGAUACGACCCAGACUCCUACGGGAGGCAGCAGUGGGGAAUAUUGCACAAUGGGCGGAAGCCUGAUGCAGCAACGCCGCGUGCGGGAUGACGGCCUUCGGGUUGUAAACCGCUUUCGCCUGUGGCGAAGCGUGAGUGACGGUAAUGGGUAAAGAAGCACCGGCUAACUACGUG